This 2286-nucleotide long non-coding RNA is filed under the name Jatropha curcas. RNAcentral's name for it is "long non-coding RNA (JCUR_LNC000631)". The record is from RNAcentral. Lineage: Eukaryota; Viridiplantae; Streptophyta; Magnoliopsida; Malpighiales; Euphorbiaceae.
UUCAAAUAUAUUUAUAAAUAUAAAUAUAUUUUAUAUCUUAAUAAAUUACAAAAAUGUCAAAAAAAAUAAAAAGUAAAAGCAAAUACAAAAUUUAUGUCUAAUAAAUACAAAAUUCACAUCUAACAAAUAUGAAAUGUACAGUCCUAUUACAUUGAUAUUUGGAGACUCAUUCUUGGUCAAUAACCUCCAAUCCUUUGGUCAUUCACCCAUACAUCACCCUCUCCUACUCUUGUGAAAUCAAUUGCAAUGGGGUCAUCACCAAUGGUUGUAGCAAUAGCAAAACUUAUCUGGGUCAACACUAUUUUUACUUGUUAGCUUCAUAUGAGACAUCAUUAAAUCAAUGAUAUGUUUGUGAGAAUAAAUGACAAAAUGCAUGUCUUUUUCCUUUUUUUUUUCAAAAAAAAAAAGGAAAAAGACCAAAGUUCAUACUUGCAUAUUCUGCAAAGCUAAACGAAAAAAAAACAAAAAGUAAUAAAUACAAUUUCAUUCUCUUCAAGAUAUUCUCCCAUUUUCACAUAAAUCAGCAAAUUAGAAUAUCAUAUAUUCACAUAAGGCAUACAACAUGAUAUUAUGGAUCCUAUUUUGAAUUGAAUUUGGAAAAAUGAAAAUUAAUUAAUAUUUGAGGUUACCUUGAAAGGCUGAUGAUGUUUGAAGACACCUACUAGGAAGGCCUAAUUGUUCACCUUGAAGCCCAUUCUGCACUCACACAAGGAAAAACGACAAUUAACUCUGACAUUGUUUUAUAGAACAUAGCUUGAAACAAAACUUAAAUCAUAAAGAAUUGAUCUGAUGACUUUUUUGUUAAUCCAAAUUAGCCUCGGUCUUCAAUAGUCAAUAAUUUUUUUAACAAAAGCAAUACAAGAUGUACUUAAUGUAGUUUUCUCAAGUAAGCAAAAUGUUUUAGUUUUAAGAGAAAACACAAAUAAAUAGAUGCAGUAAAUUGGAAUUUAAAGUAUUGAAGAGGUAGUUAAAAUAAGAAUCGAAUGCUCUUGCAAAUGUUUUUAUCCAAGUAGAAUUUUGACAAAUGCAGUCUCAAAAUAGUUAUGAAUAUAUAUGAUUAAAGCACGGAAAAUGGAUAAGUCUGAUUAACUAAACACCAACAAUUAAAGAUGCAAAAAACUAAAGUGAAAAAAAGACAAAGGUGAUGAAAAAAAUGCACAAGUUCAUCAAGAACCCAUCAGUAUCACACAACAGAAAAAGUAUCAGCUACAAGUCUACAACUUCACAGCUAUAAUUAACGGACUUGAAUGCUGCUCAAUAUAUUAAGCAGAAAAAUAUAAACUUCUACAUGUUGGGGUGAAAUAUUGUAUAUUCUAAUGAAUGCUCCAAACAAAUAAUCAAACAGAGACAUAUUAUCGUGUGCAAUUAUAGCAGCUAUUACAUUUAGAGGAGCAUGUUAUGUUUGAUAUUUAACAUCAGCAUUUUUAAAUAUUAGUCAUUGCCUUUUGUUCUCAAAAUACCAAAGAUUAAAAAGAAAGGAAAACAAAUGUAGCUUUAACUGAUUAUUAACAGCUUUUCAUCCAAACUUGGCCGACUUCUUAUAAAAUCUAUAGAAAAGAUGACAGUUUCAUCAUCAAAACUUUAAGUAAUCCACAAUUCACCUACAUUGGCACAAUUUGAUCACAGAAACAAUAAUUACCAAUACUACAACAACUUAACAAAACCUGAAAUCAAUGCUACAAACGGAAAAUAUAAUUACAGUACAAACCGUCAAUAGCAGUAGCCGGAACACCCAACAAUCAUCAAAUUUAAUAAUCUUAUAAUCAAAACGCUCAAGGUUUUCUGGAGAACCCAUUUCUAACUUCAAUUUCCUCAAAUUGUAAAUAAUUUUAUCAAUUUCCUAAAAUUUAUGAAUUUCAACCUUAGGUUUAAAACUCGAGUACUCAAUCAAAAACUCAAAAAUUUAAACAAAAUAAACUAAAUAAGAGUGUUAAAAAUUAUCAAUUUCCCACCUACUCCACCGGAGAAAACCGCCGUUAAUCGCCUAGAUGAGGCGAAUAUGAAGCUGCGUUACUUUCUCCCUACUGUCGAACAAAGGACAAGCCACAGAUUGCACAAAAAGGACAACAGCAAAGAGAGGAGGCCGAGUCCGUCGAGUUUGCAGCUUCUCUGGUUGGAUUUUGGUCGCUUAGUCGCCGAAAAAUGGAGGAGAAUUUACACAGGUUGGAGGAGCAGCGAUGUAACGUAAUGGAAAACGAGGAAGGGGCUUUCUGGUCUAAUUCGACUUUCCCAAGUAAAUUUAAAAGGGAAAAUAAUUAUUUUAUCCUUAGAUAUUUUACAAAAUUA